Molecule: long non-coding RNA, 1187 nt
Filed under: Gallus gallus (chicken)
Lineage: Eukaryota; Metazoa; Chordata; Aves; Galliformes; Phasianidae
Description: lncRNA (ENSGALG00010011706.1)
Source: RNAcentral
AUAACAUCUAGGUAAAUAAGAGACUAUGACUGUUGCUUAACAUAUCAUUCAUUCAUUAUCGCCAUUAUUCUGUGCUCCUCUGUCUCCUGAAUUCAUGCAAAGUCUUCAUAGAAUCAUAGAAUCACUAAGGUUGAAAAAGACCCACAGGAUCAUCCAGUACAACUAUUCGUUUGCCCUUCACCAGUGGUUCUCACUAAACCAUGUCCCUCAACACAACAGCCAAAUGUUCCUUGAACACCACCAGGCUCAGUGACUCCACCACCUCUCUGGGCAGCCCAUUCCAGUGCCUGACCACCCUUUCAGAGAAGUAGUAUUUCCUAACGUCCAGCCUGAACCUUCCCUGGCGCAGCUUGAAGCCAUUCCCUCUAGUCCUAUCACUAGUCACAUGAGAGAAGAGGUUGACCCCCAGCUCACUACAACCUCCCUUCAGGUAGUUAUAGAGAGCAAUAAGGUCUCCCCUGAGCCUCCUCUUCUCCAGACUAAACAAUCCCAGCUCCUUCAGCCGCUCCUCAUAAGGCCUGUGCUCCAGACCCCUCACCAGCUUUGUUGCCCUCCUCUGGACACGCUCCAGGGCCUUGAUGUCUUUUUUACAGUGAGGGGCCCAAAACUGGACACAGUACUUGAGUUGCAGCCUCACCAGUGCUGAGUACAGGGGGAUAAUUACUUCCCUGUUUCUGCUGGCAACACUAUUUCUGAUACAAGCCAGGAUGCCAUUGGCCUUCUUGGCCACCUGGGCACACUGCUGGCUCAUGUUCAGUCUAGCGUCAGUCAACACCCCCAGGUCCAUUUCCUCUACACAGUCUUCCAGCCACUCUGCCCCAAGCCUGUAGCGUUGCCUGGGGUUAUUGUGGCCAAAGUGCAGGACCCAGCAUUUGGUCUUGUCGAAUCCCAUCUCAUUGGCUUCAGCCCAGCUAUCAGCCUAUCCAGAUCCCUCUGUAGGGCCUCGCUACCCUCAGGCAGAUUGACACUUCCAGCCAACUUGGUGUCAUCUGCAAACUUACUGAGGGUACACUCAAUGCCCUCAUCCAGGUCAUCAAUAAAGAUAUUGAAGAGGACAUGCCCCAGCACCGACCCUUGGGAAGCACUACUCAUGACCAGUUGCCAGCUGGAUUUAACUCCAUUCACCACCACGCUCUGGGCCCAGCCCUCCAGCCACUUCCUUACCCAGCCAAGAGUGUACCUGUCCA